This is a non-coding RNA of Schizosaccharomyces pombe (fission yeast), 675 nucleotides long. The record is from the annotation of a GenBank genome assembly. NCBI's taxonomy places the organism in Eukaryota, Fungi, Ascomycota, Schizosaccharomycetes, Schizosaccharomycetales, Schizosaccharomycetaceae.
GAUAUUGAUUUCAAAAAACCAACCGAUUGAUUGGUUUUUUUCACUGUUUACAUUCUUCAAGUUUUAUAUACACGAAAAAUUUAUAGCCCUUGUUAAAAAAUGAUUUUACAAAUGUUCAAGCAUUCUAAUAAACUAGCUGCUAUUUUAUAAAUUCAAAAUCAUUUUAGCAUCAGUUUAGAAAUGUCUGAACCUUUUGCCUCGUUUAGAUAAUUUUCAUAACAUCUCAAACACUUGUGUUCGCUCCUUCUAGCAUCUCGCUGUUUCAAUAAAUUUUUAACUUCUCAUAUUCGCUCUUCAAAUGAUAGUCACUGUGUACACCUCCAUGACAUAUCAAUCAAACCAUGCUCAAGUAUUUUAAAAAAAAAAAUUUCAUUCAAGUUACAACAAAAACUUAUCAAAUGACUAAAAAUACUUACGAAUUUUGCAAUGGUUAGUCCCUUUGGUCCGUCGUUUAUAUUCUCGUUGCGCGAAUUGAUUCCCAACCAGGCGAAGAUCCAUUACUUAUCUGUCAAGAUAUAACAUCCACCAUAUAAUAAUGCAUCUUAUCUUUUAUACACAACGCAGCUUUGCUAACUAAUUUAACAGGUGUCUCAUCCUACACUAAAAAAUUAGAAGUACAAAAAAGAUCAAAACUUAAAACUCACUUACUCAAUUACUCACAUUAUUAAUUUAUUC